GGAUGGAUGGCCGAGUGGUUUAAGGCGCACGCCUGGAAAGCGUGUGUGCGUGAAAGCGUACCGUGAGUUCGAAUCUCACUCCAUCCG
RNAcentral lists this transfer RNA (87 nucleotides) under Gemmatimonadota bacterium. RNAcentral describes it as "Gemmatimonadetes bacterium tRNA-Ser". It matches the Rfam family "tRNA". Rfam says of the family: Transfer RNA (tRNA) molecules are approximately 80 nucleotides in length. Their secondary structure includes four short double-helical elements and three loops (D, anti-codon, and T loops). The record is from RNAcentral. Lineage: Bacteria; Pseudomonadati; Gemmatimonadota. RNAcentral also lists the same sequence under 1 other name.